AUUUUCUUAAAUCGAUAAUUGGUAUCAACCAUGCAGAUAGAUAACCCAAAAAUAAAAGAUUUUCUCACAGAAAAACUAGUUUUGUUUUUAACUUUUUCGAAUAAGACAAAACAUUUUUGGAUUCGGUUUUCUAUUUUGAAAACAAAAUUAGAACUUACAUAGAACUUUGUUCUUUUUUUAUGUUAUAGCUUGGAAAACAGUUUUUUUUUUUCAAAAAUCAUUCCUGAAAACAGUUUUAUUUAAUAACAAAAUGAAUUAAAAAUUUAUUGGCUUUACAAGAAGUGAUAGCACGUCGUUGUGAGUAUAACCGUUGAUUUUUAAUAAUGUUUUUUCCAAGCUAAGCCAUGUUUUUGAAAAGUAUUUACCUCUCCCGUCUAAACGAAGGGGAAUAAAACUCUCCCUCCCCUCUACGAAUUUUUUCUUGUCCCAAUCCGACCUACAUGCACUAUCAUUUUAGAACAUACAUACCUUGUUAUUCAACGUACCUAUGUACAUGCCUACAUAUACAAAAUACAUAAAUAUAAAAUUGCAUUUUAACUUAACUAACUAAAUAAAUAACAAUAUAUUGGCCGCGGGACGUCCACCUUCCAUACAAAUACUCCACUCUCCCUAAUUGAAAAAAAAAAAAUAAUCGAGCCCACUCUUAUAAAUCUACUGCCACUUAAUCAAACCUACUGCACUUCUUCAAAUCAAAUUACAAGCGUUUUAAGGAAAUAAUAAACCAAUUCCUUUGUAAUAAGUAGUAUUGAAAUGUACAAAAUCUGCUCUUAACUCAGAACCAGCUCUAAAAAGCUGCAAAACACUAAGAUUAACACUAGGUGUGUUUUUUAUUACCACCGGUUUUAACUGGACAAAAAAAACGCCUCGGGGCUUAACCUAAAAACUUGGCAGCACUGCGUAUUAAAUGUUCCGAAAUCAGCUGACUAGACAAAUAUACAGUUGAAAAGGAAUUGUGAAACGUCAAACAAAAAAAAAUUACAGCAGAAACAAACUAAAAAAAAAAACAAAAGAACAAAUUCCGAAGAUUCAACAAUUAAUCAGCAAAUAGGUAUUUUAUUUCCACUCGAAACAAAAUUAUGUUAAAAUGUUCAUGAGCUUCGAAACAAACAACGUGAAACGUCCAACCGCCCUCAAACGCGAACAACAUCAAAAGUCUAAACAACAAAAAGCUAGAGGCCGAUCCGGCUUUGCAGUUAGACGAAUUGAUUUUCGAAAAGCUUGCACUUACAGACAAUCUCUUGAAAUAGCAAUAGAUUCCCCUACAACUCGUGUGCGGAAAGCAAAAUCGUUCAAAGUCCUUCAGAAAUCCUAUGGAGUUAGAACAAAUUUGAUUUCCGCAGACGAACUGUUAUCAAAAGAUCGCAUUACAACUCACUUCCUUGCAUUCGAGAUUUACGCUAGAAGGAAUAAAAUUCUUCUAAUCAGCGCCAAACAUCCACAACAUCAUUGAAGCAAAUCGUGAUUCAAUUUCGUGGAGGGCGCAGAGUUCCAUUUCAUUUACCUUUCUGUACUCCAAUUGGAACGACAAGUAAAGUACUACAAGCCGUACAAGGCAACCAAAGAUUGGCGAUCAGUAAAUUGGACAACGUAGGAUCUUUCUUCAUUUACUAUUCUUAUUGGAAUGUAAGGUGUUUGUUCGAUCGGCCGAUCCAAUGUUCCAACUAUGUGGCCAAAGCCAAAAGCCGUUUAAACACAAAACGAUCAGACAAGCUUUCUAAAUCAAAUCAAAU
Episyrphus balteatus (marmalade hoverfly) is the source of this 1730-nucleotide long non-coding RNA. RefSeq lists it as uncharacterized. The record is from RefSeq and is a predicted model, not a curated record. The transcript has 3 exons. NCBI's taxonomy places the organism in Eukaryota, Metazoa, Arthropoda, Insecta, Diptera, Syrphidae.